UACCAGCUCUCCGAGUGGUGUGGAUGUUUAUUGGGCCUAAAGCAUCCGUAGCUGGCUGGGCAAGUCCCCUGUUAAACUCAGCGACCUAAUCGUUGAAUCGCGGGAGAUACUACUAGGCUAGGAGGCGGGAGAGGUCGACGGUACUUCUGGGGUAGGGGUGAAAUCCUAUAAUCCCGGGAGGACCACCAGUGGCGAAGGCUGUCGACUAGAACGCGCUCGACGGUGAGGGACGAAAGCUGGGGUAGCGAACCGGAUUAGAUACCCGGGUAGUCCCAGCUGUAAACGAUGCGGGCUAGGUGUUGGGAUGGCUACGGGCCAUUUCAGUGCCGCAGGGAAGCCAUUAAGCCCGCCGCCUGGGGAGUACGGCCGCAAGGCUGAAACUUAAAGGAAUUGGCGGGGAGCACCACAAGGCGUGAAGCUUGCGGUUC
RNAcentral lists this ribosomal RNA (428 nucleotides) under uncultured archaeon. RNAcentral describes it as "bacterial SSU rRNA". It matches the Rfam family "Archaeal small subunit ribosomal RNA", at positions 474 to 903 of the family's 1478-position model. The record is from RNAcentral.